AUGGGCCCUGCCCCCUUGCAGUGGCCUGCAGCUGGAAUUGCCAGAUACGAUCCGAAGGUCCAGGUACUUCUGCAAUUUCAGAUAAAUGAUCUGCUGCCACCUCUCUGUCAGAUGACUUUUCCGAAAGAGGUGAGGAAGGAACAGAUGACAGAGCCGGACAGUGAACAGGGAGGCUCUCCUUGCAUCCUGCUCCUCCUGAGCCUGCCUCACCAUCCCCACACCCACGGUGGGUGCUCAGUUUGCAGAAGAAAGAGAAGAAGGAAGAUGAGGGAGAAGGGACAAGAGUGCCAGCCAGGGGACAUGGGACUCCCAGAAAUAAGAAGCAUGGCGAGUAUUUCUUUUUUUUACCUUUUUGGUUUUUUAGGGCUAUGUCUGCGGCAUAUGGAGGUUCCCAGGUUAGGGGUUGAAUCGGAGCUGCAGCUGCUGUAUCUGAGCUGUGUCUGCGACCUACACCACAGCUCACGGCAACGCCAGAUCCCCAAGACACUGAGCAAGGCCAGGGAUCGAACCCGAGUCCUCAGAAAUGCUAGCUGGGUUCAUUAACCACUGAGCCACAAUGGGAACUCUAUGGUGUGUAUUUCUUAAGUGGUUUGUAUUCCACACGUUGCAAUAUCUCAGCAUAGCUCUUAAGACCACACAGAUGCAAGAAAAAUGGGGCUUCCUUCACUCUCCAGAGAGUGAAGGACUGUGCGUGAAUAUUCUUGUGGCAUCUCUAGACCCACAGGGGCCGCUUUAAAAACCAAGAACUGAGUCUUCACACUGGGUCUCAGGUUGUACAGACUGAGCUACUCGCUGAGGGAGGAACGAAUUAAAAUAGCCCAUUUGUGCAAAUACCAGAGUGUGCGGUUAAUCCAGCCCCUCGGGUGCCCAGGUAUUUGGUUAAAUAUUAUUGUGGGUGUGUCUGUGAAGGUAUUUCUGAUGAGAACAGCACUCGGGUCAGUAGAUGCGUAAAGCAGAGGCCUCCCCGGUGUGGGGGGCCUCGCCCCAGCUGCUGAAGGUCUGGAGGAGUGAAGGCUGAGUAUGGGGGCUCUUCUCGCGACCCAACUGUCUUUGAGCAGCGGGGGCGGGGGGCUCCUCCCUCUGCCUUGAGACACAGACUCGGGCUAGAACCACACGGUGAGCUCUCCUGGGCCGGACUGCAUGUCUUGGUGCUUCUCGGCCUCCAAAGUCUCCAGAGCCAAUUUCACACACACACACACACACACACACACACACACACAGAGUCAUUGUGACAGGUUGGGGUUUUGCGUGGUAGUUGCGGGCAUUAAGUUUCCAGUUACGGUGACAUCAGAAUUCUGACGGAGGGAGGAAGGGACGUCCCUGGCGACCGCGUGCUGAUGGCUUCGAGACUAAACAAGCUUUGCUUGGACACCACUGCCCGCGCUGUCCGUGCUCACCGCCCCGGGGCUCCGAGCGGCCUGGUCGAGGUGGUGUCAGGCUGGCAGAGCAAAAUCACUGCUACGUGACUCUCAACUGUGAAAUUCUGCAGUCACACUACGAGUUGCUCCCCUUAACAAUUGUGUGGCUUCCAGACUCCUGGGAA
Molecule: long non-coding RNA, 1543 nt
Filed under: Sus scrofa (pig)
Lineage: Eukaryota; Metazoa; Chordata; Mammalia; Artiodactyla; Suidae
Description: lncRNA (ENSSSCG00055015335.1)
Source: RNAcentral